RNAcentral lists this transfer RNA (70 nucleotides) under Moringua microchir (lesser thrush eel). Its description in RNAcentral is "tRNA-Gly". It matches the Rfam family "tRNA". From Rfam's summary of the family: Transfer RNA (tRNA) molecules are approximately 80 nucleotides in length. Their secondary structure includes four short double-helical elements and three loops (D, anti-codon, and T loops). Lineage: Eukaryota; Metazoa; Chordata; Actinopteri; Anguilliformes; Moringuidae. The record is from RNAcentral.
GUCUUUCUAGUAUUAACAAAUACAAGUGGCUUCCAACCAUUUAAUCCUAGUUAAAAUCCAGGGAAAGAUA